RNAcentral lists this small RNA (77 nucleotides) under Arabidopsis thaliana (thale cress). Its description in RNAcentral is "ATSL129940". Lineage: Eukaryota; Viridiplantae; Streptophyta; Magnoliopsida; Brassicales; Brassicaceae. The record is from RNAcentral.
AGAAGCUUCUUGAGAGCUUCAAUAGCCUCGUCGUAUGCUUCGGUUCCCAUCUCUUCACUCUGCAAGUUGGUUGACCA